Molecule: ribosomal RNA, 493 nt
Filed under: uncultured bacterium
Lineage: Bacteria
Description: partial 16S ribosomal RNA
Rfam family: Bacterial small subunit ribosomal RNA
Source: RNAcentral
AUUGAACGCUGGCGGCAUGCCUUACCCAUGCAAGUCGAACGGUAACAGGUUAAGCUGACGAGUGGCGAACGGGUGAGUAAUAUAUCGGAACGUGCCCGGUCGUGGGGGAUAACGUAGCGAAAGCUACGCUAAUACCGCAUACGAUCUACGGAUGAAAGCGGGGGAUCGCAAGACCUCGCGCGAUUGGAGCGGCCGAUAUCAGAUUAGGUUGUUGGUGAGGUAAAAGCUCACCAAGCCUGCGAUCUGUAGCUGGUCUGAGAGGACGACCAGCCACACUGGAACUGAGACACGGUCCAGACUCCUACGGGAGGCAGCAGUGGGGAAUUUUGGACAAUGGACGCAAGUCUGAUCCAGCAAUGCCGCGUGCAGGACGAAGGCCUUCGGGUUGUAAACUGCUUUUGUACGGAACGAAACGGUGAGCUCUAAUACAGUUUGCUAAUGACGGUACCGUAAGAAUAAGCACCGGCUAACUACGUGCCAGCAGCCGCAGUAA